UACGUAGGGUGCGAGCGUUAAUCGGAAUUACUGGGCGUAAAGCGUGCGCAGGCGGUUUUGUAAGCCAGAUGUGAAAGCUCCGGGCUUAACCUGGGAAUGGCAUUUGGGACUGCAAGGCUUGAGUGCGGCAGAGGAGACUGGAAUUCCUGGUGUAGCAGUGAAAUGCGUAGAUAUCAGGAGGAAUACCGAUGGCGAAGGCAGGUCUCUGGGCUGACACUGACGCUCAUGCACGAAAGCGUGGGGAGCAAACAGG
Molecule: ribosomal RNA, 253 nt
Filed under: uncultured bacterium
Lineage: Bacteria
Description: partial 16S ribosomal RNA
Rfam family: Bacterial small subunit ribosomal RNA
Source: RNAcentral